AACGAACGCUGGCGGCAGGCCUAACACAUGCAAGUCGAACGCUCGUAGCAAUACGAGAGUGGCAGACGGGUGAGUAACACGUGGAACCUUCCCUAUGGUUCGGAAUAGCCCAGGGAAACUUGGGGUAAUACCGGAUAAGCCCUUACGGGGAAAGAUUCAUCGCCAUUGGAUGGGCCCGCGUCGGAUUAGCUAGUUGGUGGGGUAACGGCUCACCAAGGCGACGAUCCGUAGCUGGUCUGAGAGGAUGAUCAGCCACACUGGGACUGAGACACGGCCCAGACUCCUACGGGAGGCAGCAGUGGGGAAUAUUGGACAAUGGGCGCAAGCCUGAUCCAGCCAUGCCGCGUGAGUGACGAAGGCCUUUGGGUUGUAAAGCUCUUUUGGCGGGGAAGAUAAUGACGGUACCCGCAGAAUAAGCUCCGGCUAACUUCGUGCCAGCCGCCGCGGUAA
This 450-nucleotide ribosomal RNA is filed under the name uncultured bacterium. RNAcentral's name for it is "partial 16S ribosomal RNA". It matches the Rfam family "Bacterial small subunit ribosomal RNA", at positions 29 to 523 of the family's 1533-position model. The record is from RNAcentral.